AACGAAUCGUUGAGGUCAAAACUCCUGUUGUAUUAAACCAUAACCAUCCUUUAUAAUCAGUAGUAAGUAUUUUCAGAAUCUACAUAUUACAAUUCUUUUUCUCUAUUAAACAAAAGAUAUAAACAUUUAAAAUGCGGAAAUGGAAAUAAUAAGCAUUUGAACAAUUAAAUUGGAUAAAAUAUGCCGGAUUAGGCUAGUAUCUAAUAUUGAUUUAUAACAUGCAUUUGGAGGUAUCAAACCAAAACUCAAAAAUGUGUGUUUUCAUAAUAAAUCAUUGCAUAAAUAGUACAUAACAUACAAUAUGUUUUAAUAUUAAUGAUUACAAGUAUUGUAAAAUAAUGCAAACAAAUAUAACACGUUUGAUAUCGAACUUGUACAUCUUGUGAAUGCCACGGUGCCGAGAUAUUUACAAAACGUGAGUCGAUUUUUCUAGCAUGUUAACUAAUUGUACGGAUCUAGUGUAACAUAUGAUUUGAUUAUUUACUAUCGCCCCACACAAAAAGUAAUAAAAAAAAAAUGAACAAAAUUUAGUACUAACGAGUGUCGGAUUCCCAGAGUUGUCAGAUUUGGCGAUUUUUUUAUAACUUUUUCUACUAAAUAUCAAUAAUAUCACAGCUCACAAGUGUGUAAGCAUUUUUGUUUUUGAUACCUUGUUAUUAAAAUAUGUUGUUAAGUGAUAAUUUUUUGAUUUUUCUUGUAGUUUUCAUAUCUAAAUGCUUUUUUUGUCCACUAUGAUAAAACAUACAAUUUUACAUUUAAGUUAUCUCUAGAAAAACGAUUACUGUAAAUAUGGACACAUUGUAAUGUUAACACGUUAACACGUCACACACAUAUUUAUAACAAUAUUCUAUAUUAUUGUAUCUAAUUAGUAUUAAAUCUAUAUUGUAUUAAAAUAAUACUGAAUAAUGUAGUAUUAUUUUGUUAAUUAUUUCAACUAAAAAAAUACUUUAUUUACAGCCAAGUGUAUAAAAAUGUGUAUUGCACAGGCGACCUUUUUCUAGUGUCGUCAGUAUGUAACACGAAUUCAUGGACCUUCGCAUAUGCAGCUAUAUCCAUCAUGGUAAACUUAAGUUUAUUUUAUCAUCAUACCUUUGACAGUUCUCGAACAACUGCAACGCGUUCAUGUGUCGUUUUAUAUUUACAGACAGGUUGAUUUUUAUUUUUGUUAUAUUUUACACAGUCAACUUAUUCAAUGGAAUCUGGAGUUCACACGCAGUUUGAUAUGUUAUAUAAAAUUAUUUUUAUCUAUGAGGGUACAGUUUUUACUUUUUAAUUUGUUAAAGUCGUCUUCAACCAACUAUUAUUCUAUAUAAUAGGUAUAUAAUUUAUAGGUUUUAAAAAGUCAAAAUUACAAACAGGUACAAGUAGAUACCUACCUAUUAAUUUACGGAGAAAAUGGACCAUCAAAUAAACACCAAGUACACACCAUAAAGCAUUAUACACUGCAUAAUAAUACAGUACUAUGUUUUAUAUAACAUUCUACAGAUCAUAAAAUAUAAUGACAGAUAUGAUAAACUUUACUGUGGGUUUUUCUACAGUUAACUGAUGUUGGCCACAAUAAAUAUAGGUUCAAUAUUAAGUCAGAAAUUUAAAUUUCUUAAGAUUAUUUAUUAGAACAUAUUUCCUUGAAAACUUUGUUUUUCUCACCAAAAUGUUAUCAUUUUUUGAAGUUUGCAGCAAAUUUCCAUCAAUGGGCUCUGCCCAGACCUCAACCCAAAGUUGUUAAAAAGGGACGACACACAACAGGCACACUUUUCAUCACCAGUAAGGAGGCCACAUUUUCAAAGAACCUAUUAUAAAAUUACUUUCAGUAAUCAGUUAUAAAUAUAAUACAUUUUCAUUCAGUAGUUAUGUAGUUUUAAGUUUUUUGUUGAUUUUUGUGAAAAUAUAGUAUAAUUAGUACCUAAACUAUAUAGAUUUUGAAACAUUUUAAAAGUGUAAAUAGUAAAUUCAAUAAUUUUUAACAAACUAUAAUAUGAUAUGAACUUUUAAAUUGUAGGAUUUAAUAUUUAUUAAAAUGAUAACAUAAUUAUCAACACUAGCUCAAUAUUAUCUAUAUAUAGCUUAUAGAAAUAAUUUAAAUUUAAAUACUAUUAAAAAAAUGCAUUCAUGUAUUAAAGAAAAAAUAAUACACAACUCACUAAAUAAUGUUGUUAAUUAUUGUAGUAUGUAAAUAUUAAAAUAAUAUGUUUAAGAAUUCGCUAAAAUUCUGAACAAUAAUGCAAAUAAUGUAAAAAUCGCUUUUAAGACUAAUAAUAAUUUAAUCAAACAUAUAAAGAAUAGAACUAUAAACAUCACAACAAAUCUCUGUAAUAAAUUUUAUUUAGGUAAAACAAAUAGAAAUUUUAAAAUAAGAUGUAUAGAACACAUUUCUGAAAAAAAAAUUUAAAAAGACUGCCCCUAAUUCCAAUUUUGCUAACCAUGUUUUAGAAAAUAAUCAUAAUAUAAGUUUUUAUAUUAAUACAGACUUAAUAAUAUUAAAUACCCAAAAUAACAUUUUCAUUAAUUCAUUUUUAGAAGAAUUACACUUACACAAUGAAAUAAAGAAAACUAAUUUUAAUCAUAUUUUAAAUGUUCAACCCGAUUUUAAAAAUAAUAUCUUAUAUCAAUACUUUUAGAUAAUAAACAAUAAUCAAAUAAUUUAUAUUUCUUAACAUAUCUGUGUCUAAUUUUAAAUGAUCUCUCCUUUAGAAAAAAUUAUUUUUAUAUUCUAUGUAAAACGACCAAUUUGUAUAUUAUUUUUUUCUCUAUGUAUUCUUUCAUUUAAUUUUUUAUAUUCAAUCACGUUUUACAUUUUGAUUAUUCUAUACCUGAUAAUAAAUUUUUAAUUUGAAACGGGUUGUAUAAUACACUUAUUAUAAUACUCCAGGCUAUGCACUCAUUCAUUUAUUUAUUUUUUAUUUAUAUAUUUAUUUACUAUAUUUAAUAAUAUUAGUAAUAAAUUCACAAUAUUAUUUAAAAAUUCCCUCAUUAAAAAAUACAUACAAACCAUAACAGUUGGUCUACACAUUUUUGAUUAUUUAGAUGAUGAUAUUGUUGGAAGCACUCAAUCAAUAUUUUUUAAAGUUUUAAACAAAAUGCAAUUCUAAUGCUCUAUAUUCACUGGUUAAAUGAAGAAUGUAUGCGAGUUAUUAAAAAACUAUGCCUUAAUCAAUUUAUAAUUUAAUUUUAGGUCAAGCAAAUGUUGAAUAUCCUAACCUUGGGCCAGACUAAAAUAUGACGGAUUUACACUAUCAAAUUAACAACAGUAUCAUUUUGUGGACAAUCAAACAAUGAAAUUAUGGUAAGUAAUACAUUUAACCUUAAAAAAUGUGUAAUAGGGUAAUGCCAAUCUGUAACUCUUAUUAAUAAAUACAUUUAUUUUUAGGUCAGACAAUAGUGUUGUAAAAAUUAAUAAAAUUAUAGUAUUAAUUGAACAAUAGGCAGUAUCAUGUAAAUUGUACAAUAUUGAAAUCUGGAUAAGUAGGUAUUGUAAAGAUUCUAAUAAUAGGUAUUAAAUCUAUAUUUUAUAAUAAUAUACAGGUAAAUCAUGCAAGGGCAGUUACUAAAUAUAACCCUGUUUAUUGAAAAUAGCUACGAAAAAAAUAUAUCAUUGGAGUAGCCCUAAUAGACCUGACAGUGGCCUAUGAUACGAUCAACCAUAUAAUUUUAUUCGAUAAAAUCUACAAUCUAACCAAAGACAAGGGUCUUACACAGAUAAUACAGUCACUUCUCCAAUACAAAAGAUUCUACGUGACACUAGGAGGCAAGAUAAGUAAAAAAAAUGGGCUUCGACAAGGCAGUGUUCUGGCCCAAAUCCUUUUUAAUAUAUAUACGAAUGACUAAGCGAUCACUUCAAGUGCCAGACAUUUCAUCUAUGAUAAAGCGGAUGAUACAGCGAUAAUAGUUCAAGAUAACAACUUUGAAGGAAUAGAAUCUAAAUUGGAGUCCUCCUCACUUAAAACCAUGAUAACAUAUUAUAAAAGCAUGAAGCUGAAGCCUAACUCAAUGAAGACUCAAGUUUGUGUGUUCCAUCUGAAAAACAGGCUAGCAUCUAGAAAACUGGACUUUACCUGGGAAGGAGUUAAGUUAGAACACACACCCUACCUUAAAUACCUAAGUGCAUUAACCUUGAUAGAUCACUCAAUUUUAAAGAAUACUGUGUUGCCUUUAAACGGAAAAUAUGCGCUAGAAACACUAUUGUGAAAAUUGGUUAGUUCAAAGUGGGGCUCAUCCCGACAUAGUUAGAAUUUUUGCACUAGCUCUAUGUUUUUCGGUGGCUGAAUAUGCAUGGCUGUGUGGGGCAGAUCAACUCACACUAAACAAAUUGAUUCUGCAUUAAAUGAAACAGUAUGCAUUAUAACAGGAUGCUUAAAACCAAUACCAGUAGAUAAACUAUAUCCUCUAGCAGGAAUAGCGCCAACAUAUAUAAGUAGACAAAUUGCUAGUGACAUAGAUGGAUGUAACAGAUUACGGAUGUAAGACACCCGAUGUAUAACCCACAAAUAGAAUGUUUCCAACUAAAAUCAAGAAAGAGCUUUCUAAAAUGUAUGAAGAUAUUAGAAGAAAACCCACAGACAGCAAGAUUGAAAUUAUGGGAGGUAGAAAGCAGGCAAAUAGAAGUUACCUACAGGAGUUGGACAGUCGAAGGGGAAUGUAAAAAAAAUGGGGAAUCAGCGAUGAGAAGGAAGACACGAGCUGUGUAUGCGGAGAGGCCCAGACAAUGUCACACCUACUAAAUUGCAACGAAUGCCCAGCAAAAUGUGACGUGACAGACUUACAAGCUGCAAAUAACAAGGCUAUAAAGCUGGCAGAAUUUUGGAGCGUCGAAAUUUAAAAAUACAAUUUCAUACAUUACCUUUAGAAUCAUCC
This 4851-nucleotide long non-coding RNA is filed under the name Cinara cedri. Lineage: Eukaryota; Metazoa; Arthropoda; Insecta; Hemiptera; Aphididae. The record is from RNAcentral.